AAUGAGAAAAGUCGAAAUUACUAUUGCUGUUCUGGUUUUACCCGAAUGUAAGAACUGCGCCUGUAAUUGGUUGUUUUGGCUGGAAUUGCUUCCGAAUUGAUUGUUGAGGCCUUCUGAUGAAAUUUAUCCCUGUUUCUUAGAUUUCAUCUGGUUUUGGAAUUUCUGGAUUUGGACUUGGAGAGCCUGAGUUAUGAUGUUUCCGCUAGAAUGCGUUUUGUGAAUCUAUUUUUACGGUUUUGAUGUAGUAUCUU
RNAcentral lists this long non-coding RNA (251 nucleotides) under Coffea arabica (coffee). Its description in RNAcentral is "long non-coding RNA (CARA_LNC001905)". Lineage: Eukaryota; Viridiplantae; Streptophyta; Magnoliopsida; Gentianales; Rubiaceae. The record is from RNAcentral.